Long non-coding RNA from Ictalurus furcatus (blue catfish), 1337 nucleotides. RefSeq lists it as uncharacterized. NCBI's taxonomy places the organism in Eukaryota, Metazoa, Chordata, Actinopteri, Siluriformes, Ictaluridae. The transcript is spliced from 3 exons. The record is from RefSeq and is a predicted model, not a curated record.
AACACUGUUGCUAGGCAACUUGGAAAUGUAUACACCAAGCAUAAACUAGCUUAGACUUGAAGAUAAUGUACUGUAUGUAGCUAGCUAUCAUACAGCAGUUAAAUCUUUUACACAAGGAUUCUAACAGCAGAAUGACAGUGGAAAUGAUACGAAAAUCGUCGACUGCUAACAGAACCUCCCUUUGAGUUUCACUAUACUGAGAAAAAUCAACAUUACCUCAACUUCCAAACUUGAGAAAUAGGAGCUCUGUCUUAAUGACUCCUGCCAUCCAUCAGUCAAGCAUCAGAGAGAACCAGCCGAUAAACACACUUCCUCUUAACAGAGCCCUAUCUCACCUGAACACCUUGUCCGAUAAAGAAGAAGGGAGGCUAACUGCUGGCAAAUAUACAGUAUAAUGGCUGAGAAAAUGCUCCAGUGAGAAGCAAUCACAACCUCCGUGUUUUGUCGUGUGAACUGUCAUGAUGGUUGUUAUGAGGACUGUAUGACGUUUUCUAUGACCGCUGGUUCUCAAAGUGGGGUCCGGUGACCCCCGGGGGAUCGGUGAAACACAGCCGGCGGGGUAAAUAAUGUAGAGAAUCUAUGGUCAAAUUCAAUAAAAUAGAAACCCUCACUGAACUUGUAAUGGUUUUCAUGAUUAUAAUGGGAGUUGUAUUGGUUUCUGUUUUUGAAAAUACGAAUUCGAUUUUCGAGCAACGAUGAUGAUGAUGAUUCAGAAAAGCGUGUGUGUGUGUGUGUGUGUGUGUGUGUGUGUUUGAUGAUGUCAUCUUGAUUUGCACAACAGGAACUUGAUGGAAGUAUCCUUUAACUGACAUUUUGUCCAAAAAAAAUUUUUUUUUUUUAAACUUUUCUGCUUACAAUCUUCCAAACAUUUGAGUGGUGACAUGUUGGAGUGGGGAGAAAUGGGGUCUUAUUUAUUUAUUUAUUUAUUUAUUUAUAAAUAAAUAAAUAAAAGAUGGGGUGAACAUAAUGGCUGGAUAAAAGCGGGUUGAUUCGGUGUGUGUGUGUGUGUGUGUGUGUGUGAGUAAUAGGGGAAGGGGAUUGUUUACUGACUGGCUGUGUCAGACCCUCGGCUCUUAGGGCCUCUAAUGCAGCACAGCUGUGAAGGGGCUCGGACACUACGCAUCUGCUGAAGGGGGCCAUUGUGUGUAAUUAAUGUUCCUCUUUUGCCUGCAUACAGCCUUGACUCUGACGAUCGCAAAAAAAAAGCGUUUAACUACAGACACACGCUGCUUUAGAAAAGUUAAUUAAUGUGCUGCCUGUGCUGGUAUGUCUGUGUGCGUGUGUGUGCGUGUGUGUGCGAGACAGCGGUUAAGCCAGUAAAUCUGUACUAUAUGGAC